GGGCCCUUAGCUCAAUUGGCAGAGCAAGUGACUCUUAAUCACUGGGUUGGGCGUUCGACUCGCCCAGGGCUCACCA
RNAcentral lists this transfer RNA (76 nucleotides) under Anaerolineae bacterium. Its description in RNAcentral is "tRNA-Lys". It matches the Rfam family "tRNA". From Rfam's summary of the family: Transfer RNA (tRNA) molecules are approximately 80 nucleotides in length. Their secondary structure includes four short double-helical elements and three loops (D, anti-codon, and T loops). Further hydrogen bonds mediate the characteristic L-shaped molecular structure. tRNAs have two regions of fundamental functional importance: the anti-codon, which is responsible for specific mRNA codon recognition, and the 3' end, to which the tRNAs corresponding amino acid is attached (by aminoacyl-tRNA synthetases). tRNAs cope with the degeneracy of the genetic code in two manners: having more than one tRNA (with a specific anti-codon) for a particular amino acid; and 'wobble' base-pairing, i.e. permitting non-standard base-pairing at the 3rd anti-codon position. The record is from RNAcentral. Lineage: Bacteria; Bacillati; Chloroflexota; Anaerolineae.